Ribosomal RNA from Bos indicus x Bos taurus (hybrid cattle), 119 nucleotides. NCBI's taxonomy places the organism in Eukaryota, Metazoa, Chordata, Mammalia, Artiodactyla, Bovidae. The record is from Ensembl.
AUCUACAGCCAUACGACCCUGAACAGUACCGAUGUCAUCUGAUCUCAGAAGCUAAGCAGGUUUGGGCCUGGUUAGUACUUGGAUAUGAGACUGCUUGGGAAUACCGGGUGCUGUCGUCU